RNAcentral lists this transfer RNA (87 nucleotides) under Acidobacteriota bacterium. RNAcentral describes it as "Acidobacteria bacterium tRNA-Leu". It matches the Rfam family "tRNA". From Rfam's summary of the family: Transfer RNA (tRNA) molecules are approximately 80 nucleotides in length. Their secondary structure includes four short double-helical elements and three loops (D, anti-codon, and T loops). Further hydrogen bonds mediate the characteristic L-shaped molecular structure. tRNAs have two regions of fundamental functional importance: the anti-codon, which is responsible for specific mRNA codon recognition, and the 3' end, to which the tRNAs corresponding amino acid is attached (by aminoacyl-tRNA synthetases). tRNAs cope with the degeneracy of the genetic code in two manners: having more than one tRNA (with a specific anti-codon) for a particular amino acid; and 'wobble' base-pairing, i.e. permitting non-standard base-pairing at the 3rd anti-codon position. Lineage: Bacteria; Pseudomonadati; Acidobacteriota. The record is from RNAcentral. RNAcentral also lists the same sequence under 1 other name.
GCCGGGCUGACGGAAUGGCAGACGUUCGGGACUUAAAAUCCCGUGGGGAUUUUCCUCGUGUGGGUUCGAAUCCCACGCCCGGCACCA